Meleagris gallopavo (turkey) is the source of this 3972-nucleotide non-coding RNA. Lineage: Eukaryota; Metazoa; Chordata; Aves; Galliformes; Phasianidae. The record is from RefSeq and is a predicted model, not a curated record.
UUUGUUUAUCUUUGUUUUUAAAAGAAUGGAGCAGAUGAUGUGAAGAGACAUCGAUGGUUCAGGUCUAUAGACUGGGAUGCUGUACCUCAAAGGAGACUAAAGCCUCCUAUAGUGCCGAAAGUAUCCAAUGAUGGAGAUACUUCCAAUUUUGAAGCUUAUCCUGAAGAUGACUGGAACAAAAUGCCUCCAGUACCCCCUAAAGAUCUAGAAAUUUUCAAGAACUUCUGAAUGCAACACUGGACAAGAAACUGGAAAGAAAGUAAAGAGCAAGCCUGAAGAAAAAAUUAAAUUAAUACAUAAAUGAAGACUUUCCUUGUGGAUGAGAAUUAUACUGCAUUCAGAUAUGCAAACGAGAAUAUAAUGAAUAUCUAAAGAGUUGGAGGCAGGCAAGCAUCAGUUUUAGCUGUAAACAUUUGGCAUUGGUUUAGUAAAUUGUAAUGUUGACAGUCUACUCCGAAAUAGACUUGAGUAAAGUGAAAUAUUUUAGGAUUUUUUUUUAACUUAUGGUUUAGUUAAGUUUCCUGCUAUUCCCAGAUCCUUUUUGCAUAAUUAAUUCAUAGAUUUAAUUUUAUAAGUUUAUACUAAACUUGUGUAAUUAAAAGCACAAAUUAGUAUAUAUGUAUAUAAUGAAUACAAUACAACUAAAGCACAGGAACUGUGCAAAGAUGUAAAUUUUUGUACUUUGCAGAGUCUAUGAUUUUUAUUUUUCAAAUAAUGUUUUUCAAGAAGUUCUCUAGGGAUAAAAAUCUUAAAAGGAUAAAUGAGUUUUUCAUCAUCUUAUAUACAUUUUAUAAUUCUUUGUAAAAAUAAAAAUAAUUAAGUUUUAAAUAAGAUUUGUACCUAAAAUUUCCAAUGCCUCAUACUUGCAACCAUAGUACUUGAAAGCAGAAAGACAAGGGCAUGUUUUAUUGUUGAUUAAGAUACAUCUUAAUGGUUAAUUUAUGAAAUUCUGUUACACUGAUGUCUCUACAAACCAGGAUAUUGAGUGAUGACGUGCUGUCUGAAAUGUGAUUCCUCUUGUGACAACUCUCUGUAAACAUUCAGCUCAGUGCAUACUGGUAUAAGGGCUAUAACUGGCUCUUACAGUUGUUGUUCUCUCUCUUAAGCUUGCUAUCUUUUCUAAAUUUAAAGCAUGAGCCAUAACAGACUUUCUUCAUUAUUGGCAUAGUUGUUGUUGAAUAUUUGGCACUUCUAACUAUCAGAGGGAACACUAAAUAUAUGUUAGAGCCUGCUCUUUCUGCUCCUGCUUUUGGAAAUAGCCUGAAGUCUCCACUGCCAGGAAUUCUAUAUGUACAGUGCUCAAGCCUUAGAUCUGAGGAGUUUCUUUUAAACUGUAUAACAGCUUUUUGACAUCUUAAAUACACUGAAUUUAGGAAAUAUUUGCAAUACUGUUUCAUUUUAAGUAGCACCAAGAAUCUGUGUGUGCAUAUGUAUUUCUCUCGUAUAUGAGUACGCAUAAACAAAAGUAGAUUGUAUACAAUUCAGGAUUAUUUCAGUCUUUUUCAUGUUUCAUAUUGAGAUAUUUGUUUUAAUACAGGGGAAACUGAGUGCUUUGAUUUCAAAAAGUAAAUACUUUUUUGGUUUUAGGGAAAUCAUAUUUAGAUCAAAAGUUUUUGUUUGUUUCAGAAGUGCAUCAGCUUAUUGAAGUUGUACCACUGUGACUGAUGGCUCUACAUAAAACUGUCUCUGUAGAUUUUACAGACUGUUUUCCCUGCAAAGAAUUCUCUCCACAUUUUUUAUUAAUCUAAAAUGCCAUAUAAAUGGGGGCCAAAGAUUCAUUUUUCAGAACUAAAUUUUGUGUGCUUACUAUACAGGCAUUCUAGUAAUUGCAAAUUAAAUUACUAUCUUUAUAAAUUUAUGACAGAUCUACAGCUGGUCUCUCCUGAUGGAAAAAUUACUUCAGUUCUCUUUUGUUUAGCUCUAAACAAUGCAGAGAUGUAGUAAAUAGUAAAUGUACUUUGAAAGCUUGCAAUUUCUAGUUUACUAGAUCUUUAUCUUUAUAAAACAAAUUAAUUCUUAGAGACUGUAUGACUUUUUGCAGAAAUACAAUAUGUAAUAAAGUUACGCUUCUUCAAAGAGGUAGUUCUGAAUUAUUACAAAUAUUAAAAAGUGCUGCAAGUUGAUUGCCCCAGCUGAAAAUCAGUGAAAACUAUAUAGGAAUACAUAAUAAGGAGAAAAUCCACGGAAAAUUAUCCUUUUAACAUGGUAUAAAUACCUUGUUCUCUUGAAAAAUGAGUCUAGACUUCUUUAUUUGUAUCCAUGGAGUGAGUUAUUCCAAAUCAGUUGGAGAAACUGAAGUACAUAAAAGAGCUUACUUUGUCUAAGGGGGGAGGAAGCACAGUUUAUUUUUUAACGUGCAAGUUUCAGUAUUUUUUUGAAUCCUAAGUACUACGAAAACAGCAUGAUUUUGUGUUUUUCUUUCAAAUUUAAAAACCGCACUGUGUUUAAGUCUUCAGAGCUGAGUAAAUGAAGUUUGAAGUUGCAUUUUACUAAUCUGCUACAUUGGUGGUCAGAAGUUUUGAAAGGUUAACAGAAAAUCAUUGAUUUUCUUUCUUACCUAUUCUUACUCAUUCACAUACCCAUUGCUGGCAGUGGAUGCACUGGCUCUCACACUAUGAUAGAGACUAAAGUGAAUACAGUCUUUAUAGUACUAAUCCAUGGACUUCACGUUGUUUCCAUAACCAUGUGUACUUACACCUAACUACUGACCCCGUCAACAUGCUUUCUAGUACAAAACUACCUUCAAAAUUUUUUAAAUUAAAAUCCUUAAUAAGAAACCUUUUUGAAACAUUAUUAUAAAUGACCAGUUAUUUUCUCUACAGUCUUCAACUUACUGAACUGUUACUUUACAUGCCCAUUUUAUUUAUUUGCACAAGUGAGUUGGUUUUAUUUUAAGUCUUUGCUGGGACUUCAUGGACCACUAACGAACACAGUUCUGUCUGAGUGCUCAAGCAGAUGUUUCCAGAUACAUACUGCUCUAAGGACUCUGGAUUUAUUUUAUUCUUUCUUAAGCAAGCUAGAACACUUCUGUUUUUCCUUCCUCCUCUAUUCUGAAGUUCAUUUUAUUAUGGUUGCUUCUGUUAACAUAUAUUUUUGCAUAUAGACUGUUGCAUAAGGACUGUUUUCUUGUAAGAGCCCAUAGGCCUUUCAUAUUCUGCUUUGGCAAACAAGAAUGUCAAACAUUAAAAAACAAUCUUUAUUUUUGAGUUUUAUAUAUAUAUAUUUUUAAUUGCCCGAUUUGAGGUUUUAAGUGAUAAACGUGCAUUGUAAACUCAAUUGCCUUGUAACCAAAUAAUAAAAAUGCUUCAUGAUUUAAAUGGACAACAUGCUGUAGAUUUUCCUGUAAAUUAGCUUGAUCAAUGAAUAUGUGUGCUACUGAGCUUUAACUUAUGUGAUCUUCCACUGUAAAAAAUCAUUGUUAAUUGAUCAAAAUAUAGGUACUGAACUAUGUUUAAAUAGAUCAACAGGGAUUGUGCAAGUUUGAAAGCAAUUAAGAUAUGGCUGUUCCUCAGCCCGUCUGCUUGCCAUUCAGAAGAGUUGUGAUGCAGUGCUUCCUAUGCUAUAGAGUUAUUUUUCAGCUUUCAAUGACUGUAGCAUGAUUCCUUUUCGUACUGUACUGUGUACAGACUUCCCAUGUUUUGCACUUUUCUAUGGCAAACCUAACUGCUUUAUAAAUACUCUGUUGUGUAGUAGGUAGUGGUAGUGAUAGCAGGCAUUUGUGUAGUACAUAACCAGUUUGAUCCGCUAGUUUUGCGAGGUGAACUUGGACUAAUGUUGUAUGUUUCUGGUUGCUUGUUGUGGCUCACAUGUAUAAGUACUGUUCAAAGUUACAAAGUCAGCCCUCAUUGCACAAUGAAAAUCACUGUGAUCUGUACAUAAACCCUAGUAAAAUUUUAUUGCUGCUUAAUUUAUGUAAUAUCUGUCAAAUCUGGAUUCAUUUAAUAAACCUUUAUAACUUUUUGAAUGUUUAAA